This 582-nucleotide ribosomal RNA is filed under the name Triticum aestivum (bread wheat). RNAcentral describes it as "partial small subunit ribosomal RNA". The record is from RNAcentral. Lineage: Eukaryota; Viridiplantae; Streptophyta; Magnoliopsida; Poales; Poaceae.
AUGCCCAAGCGCACCAUGGGAGGGAGGGCCGACGCCGGGGCCGACGCCAUGGCGCACGAAGCAUCCAAGCGCCAUGCGAAGCUGCACAUGGAGAAACCCCUCCCCACUGGCGAGGGGUCCAGCCGGCAGCAGGGCGGCCGUGACGUCGUCGACCACGUCCAGGCUCCAGUGCAGCUGUCACCUACGCCGGAGCAGGUGACUCCUCUGCCACGCCAUCUGCCUCCUCUGCUGCAGCCCGUGGUCAACGUCGACGGCGACGACGGUGAAGAAGAGGUCACUGCUCUGGCUCCUCAGACGGAGCAGGUGACGCCUCCUGUGCCUGAGCCUGUGGUCGUCGGCGAUGUCAACAAAGAAGACGUAGCUGCUAUGGCUCCUCAGACGGAGCAGGUGUCUCCUCUGCCGGGGGUGACGCCUCCGGUGCCCGAGCCUAUGGUCGUUGGCGACGUCAACAAAGAUGACGUAGCUAGCUCCCCUGGCUCCUCUGCCGGAGUAGGUGGUGGCUCCUCAGCCUCAGCCGGGUGUUCAUCUGCCGCGGUUGUUGCCUCCCCUGCCCCCACCUGUGGUCGUCGCCGACAAGAAUGA